CAGAUGAUGAUCCUAAGCCUUCUGGUGAUCUGUUUACACAAGCCUCUGAAGGGGGAUGGAAGACAUGUUUCCUUUAAUCAGAUUACGUCGGUGAAGGUUUUCUGAUUUACCCCGUAGGGGCUUGUAGCUCAGUUGGUUAGAGCGCGCGCUUGAUAAGCGUGAGGUCGGAGGUUCAAGUCCUCCCAGGCCCACCAGUUACACUCUGCUGAAAGUUGCUGUGAUUAGUUGAGAGUUGCUCUAUUGGGAGAGUUGAUAAUCCCUUAAAGGAAAUUUGUAGCCCUUAUAAAACUUUGUUUUUAAGGAUAUUUAGAGUAUGCAAGAGAAAUUGUUUUUCUGUCAUUUAAAAAGACUAAAAUAUCUAAGAUAUUAAGAUAUGUUGUCUCUAUUUUUUAAAAAUAUCAGGUGUUUUAUAAAAGCAUUAACUAUUUUGUAAAAGUGUGACGUUUUUUAUAACAACAUGUGUGAGGGCUUUUUUAGCUAUUUGGGGGCCGUAGCUCAGCUGGGAGAGCACCUGCUUUGCAAGCAGGGGGUCGUCGGUUCGAUCCCGUCCGGCUCCACCAUACUAUAGUUCAUCAUCCUUGUUAGAAGAGUAGUUAUUGCAGGAGAUUGAUAGGUCUCUUUGCCUGUUCUAUUGAAU
RNAcentral lists this transfer RNA (637 nucleotides) under Bartonella sp. 'elk-1'. RNAcentral describes it as "contains 16S-23S intergenic spacer region". The stretch from base 118 to 191 matches the Rfam family "tRNA". The record is from RNAcentral. Lineage: Bacteria; Pseudomonadati; Pseudomonadota; Alphaproteobacteria; Hyphomicrobiales; Bartonellaceae.